AAAAGGAAAUAAAACACAAGGAGGUGAAAACUUAUGUCUACGGAAAACCCCACACAUGGAUGUUUAUAGCAGCUUUAUUAAUAAUUGCCAAAACUUGGAAGCAACUGAGAUGUCCUUAAGUAAUGAAAUGGAUACACUAUGGUACAUCCAGAUGAUGGAAUAUUAUUUAGUGAUAAAAAGAACUGUCAAGCCAUGAAAAGAUAUGUAGGAAACUUAAAUGUAUAUUACUAAGUGAAAGAAGUCAAUCUGAAAAGGCUACAUACUAUAGAAUUCCAACUAUAAGACAUUCU
This is a long non-coding RNA of Sapajus apella (tufted capuchin), 290 nucleotides long. RefSeq lists it as uncharacterized. The transcript is spliced from 3 exons. Lineage: Eukaryota; Metazoa; Chordata; Mammalia; Primates; Cebidae. The record is from RefSeq and is a predicted model, not a curated record.